This is a non-coding RNA of Pelobates cultripes (western spadefoot toad), 243 nucleotides long. The record is from the annotation of a GenBank genome assembly. Lineage: Eukaryota; Metazoa; Chordata; Amphibia; Anura; Pelobatidae.
GAAACAGCAGCCAUACAGUUACAGGAGAGAGGACAGUUUCUUUACGAUAAGGAUCUAGGUAUUUUGGAACUAGUUUCUUAAUAUGACAAGACAAUUUUAGGUGCUUUGUUGACAACCACACUUUCUGUCCUACUUGGUAAGCAGCAGCAGGUCUGUGCUUCUUGUCAGCAUAGGGCUUUGUAUUUCUGUUGGGUUUCUUGCAGGAUAGUUAGGGCAUGUUGGAACCCUAUCUGGAGGUCACAG